This is a long non-coding RNA of Melospiza melodia melodia, 1237 nucleotides long. RefSeq lists it as uncharacterized. The record is from RefSeq and is a predicted model, not a curated record. The transcript is spliced from 4 exons. NCBI's taxonomy places the organism in Eukaryota, Metazoa, Chordata, Aves, Passeriformes, Passerellidae.
AGGAAGCGCCUGGCGGGGUUUGUGCCGGCCCGGCCUCACGGAGCGUGUCCUGGGGUCGGUGUUGCGCAGUAGUGCCGCAGUGGCCGUGACUGAGGGAGCAGCGCUGAUACCUGUCAGGUGUCAUGCGAUUUCAUUAAAUGACGUUCAGAGAGGAUAAUAUGCAAAGAAUACUGCCUGAGGAAGAAGCUGUCUCUGUUGCUUAGUGUUUUGUACUGCCCCUUUGAUGAAAAACAAAAGGAAAAGAGGAUAUUUAAAAAAAAAAGUGAAUGAGAAAGUGCUUCUAACUUUAGGAGGGGCAGGGGGGAUAGACAGACCUCCAAGGCACACCCUAGGAUUUCUUCCUGGUGGGGCUCCGCUCGUCUCAACUUGCCACCUGCGAGGACAGACAAGCACCUGCUGGCCUGCGGAGGAAGAUACGGACUAAGAGAUGCCUUCUUUUGCCUCCCUAUCCACGAAGCCAGCCAGGAAAUUUUUGCAUUCAAACUCAAGCUCACAUAGUCCAUGUGCCUGAAGGCUUCAAGAUUCCCCACUCCGAUUGGAGAACAGCUUGCAAAGACCCAGAGUCCUGGGAAGCUCCACAAGAGGAAAGGAGGCUGUUGCAGUUGGUGGACGAUCUUCUAGUAGCCACUCAAAUGAGGGAAGCGAGAGAAGCCUGGACGGUAAGCCUUUUGAAUUUCCUAGGACUCCAAGGACGCAGAGUCUCAAAGAAAAGGCACAGGUAGUGAAACAGAAGGUAAUCUACCUGGGGUAAGAAGUGAGUGCGGAGCAGCAGACUUUAAAGCAAAGACCUAGAGACCACCGAAGCUACCUACUCCCGCCGCCCAGACUUAAGGGACGCUCCUCCGGACGAUGCAGAGACCUGGUUCACUGACAGGAAAGCGACAUUGCAAAGUUCACAGUGACUACCUGCAGAGAGGUAAUCGAGUCUGGACCCUUACCAACAGGUACCUCUGUGCAGAAGGCUGAGAUAAUUGCCCUGCCCCGUGCCCUGGAAAGGGCAAAAGGGAGGAGAAUAACCAUCUACACAGACCCAAGGAAUGCAUUUGGAGUCAUACAUGCACAUGGAGCCAUCUGGAAAGAGAGGGGACUGCUGACCUCACAGAGAAAGAAGAGACAAUCCAGCUGCUGGAAGCAGUUCAGCUACUUGAAAAGGCAUAUUAAGGCACACUAGAGAGUGAGCUUAAAAUUGGAGGAAAGAAAUGAGCUGGCGGAUGGAGAGACAAAAAAAGCAGCAAAG